Molecule: ribosomal RNA, 378 nt
Filed under: Glomus sp.
Lineage: Eukaryota; Fungi; Glomeromycota; Glomeromycetes; Glomerales; Glomeraceae
Description: SSU rRNA
Rfam family: Eukaryotic small subunit ribosomal RNA
Source: RNAcentral
UUGGAGGGCAAGUCUGGUGCCAGCAGCCGCGGUAAUUCCAGCUCCAAUAGCGUAUAUUAAAGUUGUUGCAGUUAAAAAGCUCGUAGUUGAAUUUCGGGAUCAAUUUAUUGGUCGUGCUAUUGUACGUACUGGUAUUAUUGAUUCCUACCUUCUGACGAACCAUGAUGUCAUUAAUUUGGUGUCUUGGGGAAUCGGGACUGUUACUUUGAAAAAAUUAGAGUGUUUAAAGCAGGCUCACGCUUGAAUACAUUAGCAUGGAAUAACGAAAUAGGACGUUUGAUUCUAUUUUGUUGGUUUCUAGGAUCGACGUAAUGAUUAAUAGGGAUAGUUGGGGGCAUUAGUAUUCAAUUGUCAGAGGUGAAAUUCUUGGAUUUAUUG